RNAcentral lists this ribosomal RNA (477 nucleotides) under uncultured bacterium. Its description in RNAcentral is "partial 16S ribosomal RNA". It matches the Rfam family "Bacterial small subunit ribosomal RNA", at positions 28 to 507 of the family's 1533-position model. The record is from RNAcentral.
GACGAACGCUGGCGGCGUGCUUAACACAUGCAAGUCGAACGGGAUUUAGUAAACAGCAACCUCGGUGGAAGAUUACUAAUGAGAGUGGCGAACGGGUGAGUAACGCGUGAGCAACCUGCCUAUGACAGUGGGAUAGCCUCGGGAAACCGGGAUUAAUACCGCAUAAAAUCGUAGAAACACAUGUUUUAACGGUCAAAGAUUUAUCGGUCAUAGAUGGGCUCGCGUCUGAUAGCUAGUUGGUGAGAUAACAGCCCACCAAGGCGACGAUCAGUAGCCGGUCUGAGAGGAUGAACGGCCACAUUGGAACUGAGACACGGUCCAAACUCCUACGGGAGGCAGCAGUGGGGAAUAUUGCACAAUGGGGGAAACCCUGAUGCAGCGACGCCGCGUGAACGAAGAAGGUAUUCGUAUCGUAAAGUUCUGUCCUAUGGGAAGAUAAUGACAGUACCAUAGAAGAAAGCUCCGGCUAAAUACGUG